RNAcentral lists this ribosomal RNA (309 nucleotides) under Triticum aestivum (bread wheat). Its description in RNAcentral is "partial small subunit ribosomal RNA". Lineage: Eukaryota; Viridiplantae; Streptophyta; Magnoliopsida; Poales; Poaceae. The record is from RNAcentral.
AUGCUCCUCAUAUUUGUUCUGUACUUAGUUGUCUGGCGGUGCCAGAGUCCCAGAAAUAACGAGAAGAAACUGGUUAUGGUUGUCUGCGAGGGAAGGAUUGCUUCUCUUCUGUUCGUGCCCAACUAUUGGACCCUGUUGAGCCGAAACUGUGGAGGCAGAAUAAUUAUGCGCUGCUGGGCCUCUCCUGGUCCUGUAUACUUUACUAGUGCUGCUGUUCCGGCGUCUGUUUGUGAUUUAAUGGUUCGAUGUGAACUUGAAUGGCGGAGAAACAUUUUCUUCCCAAUAGGUGGUAGAGAUUUUUCUAUCUGA